This 2402-nucleotide long non-coding RNA is filed under the name Theobroma cacao (cacao). Its description in RNAcentral is "long non-coding RNA (TCAC_LNC003843)". The record is from RNAcentral. Lineage: Eukaryota; Viridiplantae; Streptophyta; Magnoliopsida; Malvales; Malvaceae.
AAACAAAAACCAAAGAAGAACAAAGGAAGAAAAGAAAGAACAAGAACCCUAGGUGGAAAAAUUCAAAGAAAAAGUGUGAAAAAUCAAGAAAAACAAGUGAAAAAGGUAGGAUUUCUCAAUUUAAACUUGAAAUCUAUUUUCCUUAAGCAUUUCUCCUUAUUUUCCAUGGUUAAAUUUCAUGUUUUCAUGGUGAAUUCAUGGCUAACCGAAUGGGUAUGGAGAGAAAAUGAUGUUGGAAUGAUUUGAUUUCAAGUUAUGUUAGUGUUUUUGGUUAGUUUACCAUGUCUAGAAGCAAAACAACAAGAAAAGAAUUCAUUUUCCCCAUCACCCAUCAAUCGUCGAACCUACCUUGCAUUGAGUGAGGAUGAAUUUGAUUUUUAUUUUAGGAGAAUUGGUUAGAAAAUGAUGAAUUAUGGUGUGGAAAGUAGUAGGAAAAAUCACGGUGUUAAUGCACCAUUAUUGACCAAAAAUUCUAUGAAGAAAAGUGAAAAUGGUUUGGUCAAAUAGUAGGUUAUUUGACUUAUGUUUGGUGAAUUAAGGUAUUGGAAAAGAAAUGGAGCAAUUUGGAGCUAAAUUGGAUGCAUUGGCCAAUUAAUCGGGUGAUAAAACGAAUUAGGCCAAUACCAGGUUUAGAUUGUUACCCGUGCAUUUUGCAUUCCAUAUCAUGCAUUAGUAGUCUAAAUUUGUUUAAUUUCGAUUUAGUACCAAUGUAGUAAGUUUCUAGAUUUUGCAUCAUGUCCAGGUGGUGAAUCCUCCGCUAAGGGCAAAGAAAUUGUACCCGAGGAUCGGUAGUUAGAGUACUCUAGAAAUUCGACUCCCGAAAUAGUGAGUAACCUUAUCAUCAUUUUAAUUAUCUAAAGUGGUCUUUUUAUCCAAUUUUGUGAAUUUUAUGGAAAAUGAGUUUAAAUGGUUAAUUUUUAGGUUUUAUAAACAAAAUGUGUUUAAAUGAAAAGAUUUUAUAAAUUGUCUUGAAAUUGAAUUAUGGCUUUGAAAAUAGAGUAACUGGAGACCACUUGAUGUGUUGUAAUUUAUGGUUCUAAUUGAUGGCUUAUGAUAAUGUGUUGGCAUGAUUGGCUGGAAUUGUGGUUUGUGAACUGUAUGAAUUGUUCUGUUUUACAUUUACAGGCUGGGUAGUAUAAUAUUAGUCAUGUCAUGUUGUCAAAAUUUUAUUGUAUGGUGGGUUUAGCUUGCUGUAGUGGGCGGGUUCUGUGGACCAGCCUAUUAGAGGGGCACGGAAUCCGGUUAUAUAUGUACCUCGGUCAGAGAGCCUCGUAGGGUAUCUCCUGAGGUAUGGUUAGAGUUCAUGUCACGUCGAACCACCUCGUGCUAAUGUACUCCGCUAACGCCAAGGAACGACUGUGUUUUUCAAACUAAAAAAUAUGUUUAUGUGUGUAUAAAAUUUUUAACAGCCUUGACGGACUCGGUUAAAUACCUCGACCAAGGUAUUCCCAAGAAUGAUUUUAACAGGAGCCAACCUUUUAAGAUACUCAUAAGCCAUGUUGACUAUUUAAAUGAAAUGAAUGUUUAUGUUAUGAAAUACAUAUUUAGAUGGAAUAUUUUAAUCGUCUUCUUUUACUCGACUUUAGAUAUUUUGAAUGAUGUUUGUUUACUUGCUGGGAUUUUAUAAUCUCACCACCCUCAUUUCCACCCAUUUCAAGCUUAGUAUAAGCUAUAGAUAGCUGAUAUCGUCGAAGGCUACAGUUGGCUUUACUUCCUCAAAAACUGUAGGUUUGCAACCUUCGUUUAUUUUUGUUAUUUAAGGGUCCACAUGUCACUGUAAAUUAAAUUACAUACUUUAGUUAUUUGUACUACUGUAUGUAAGAAUUUAUUUUGCUUUUACGCUGUAAAAAUUAUUUACGCAGUGUUCUAAAAAUAUUAUUUAUAAGAAAAUAGAAUAUUUUGUUUAAUAUUUUUAUUUUAUUCUAGCAGUCAUAAUUUCACUUUAAAUGAAUGUUUAGACAUCUAAAUUUAUUUUUGAUUUUGAAAUAUGUGUUCUGCACUUAUAUACUACAUUAUUAGCUGGUAUCGAAAUUUUAAAGAAAAAUGAUCAAAAUACCCCUGUGAGACGAAAAUUAUUUUUUAUUGUUUUAAGUUGGGAAAUAGUUUAAAAUCUUUUAGAACGUGAUAUUUGGCAAUGAUUACUCACAGGGGAAAAUGAGAAAUUGAUAUUAAAGUCUUGCGGGGUUCUGGUUGGCAUUUCGGGUAAUGAGUGUCUAUCGGGACACCGCGACAGUUGUCACGGGCUCGAGGGGAGUACUGGGUCGUGACAAGUUACAGUCCCAGCAACUUGGCAUACCAAGCGAUGCGAAGUCCUUCCCACUAAUUAAAAUCCUUGUAAAGUGAUCCACUAUCCACGUACCAAACUCCUCUUAAAUGUUGGAAACAUGGAACAUGCAUGCUCA